This 533-nucleotide ribosomal RNA is filed under the name uncultured Ascomycota. Its description in RNAcentral is "eukaryotic LSU rRNA". The stretch from base 183 to 336 matches the Rfam family "5.8S ribosomal RNA". The record is from RNAcentral. Lineage: Eukaryota; Fungi; Ascomycota.
CAUUACCGAGUUAGGGUCUUAUAGGCCCGACCUCCAACCCUUUGUUUACUAUACCAUGUUGCUUUGGCGGGCCCGCCUUUCGAGGCCGCCGGGGGCUUUCAUACCCUUGGUCAGUGCCUGCCAGUAGCCUUAUUAAAUUCUUUUUAUAAUUAUGUUGUCUGAGUAUAAAUAUAAAUCGUUAAAACUUUCAACAACGGAUCUCUUGGUUCUGGCAUCGAUGAAGAACGCAGCGAAAUGCGAUAAGUAAUGCGAAUUGCAGAAUUCAGUGAGUCAUCGAAUCUUUGAACGCAUAUUGCGCCCUUUGGUAUUCCGAAGGGCAUGCCUGUUCGAGCGUCAUUAUCAACCAUCAAGCCUGGCUUGUCGUUGGACCUCUUUGCCAUUGAAAAUAUAUGGUAGGUCCGAAAGAUAAUGACGGCGUCGUGUUUGACCCUAAAUGCAACGAGCUUUUUAUAGCACGCAUUGAAGUGGUCGGCCGACCCAGUCUUUAACCAUCAUUUUUUCUAAGGUUGACCUCGGAUCAGGUAGGAAUACCC